RNAcentral lists this ribosomal RNA (462 nucleotides) under Pseudopontonides plumosus. RNAcentral's name for it is "partial large subunit ribosomal RNA". It matches the Rfam family "Archaeal large subunit ribosomal RNA", at positions 2004 to 2666 of the family's 2987-position model. The record is from RNAcentral. Lineage: Eukaryota; Metazoa; Arthropoda; Malacostraca; Decapoda; Palaemonidae.
AGGGCCGCGGUAUAUUGACCGUGCGAAGGUAGCAUAAUCAUUAGUCUUUUAAUUAAAGGCUGGCAUGAAGGGUUGAAUGAGAGGUAUUCUGUCUUUUAAAUAAAAAAAAUUAAUUUAACUUUUAAGUGAAAAGGCUUAAAUUUUUUAAUGGGACGAUAAGACCCUGUAAAACUUUAUAUUAGAUGUAUAUUUAUUUUAGUAUUAAAUUUAAAUUUGUUAUAUAUAUUUUAUAUUUUGCUGGGGCGGCAAAAAUAUAAUUAACCUAUUUUUUAUAAUUAAAUAAUUAUUAUUAGAUUUUGAUCCUGUAUUAUGGAUUAUAAGAUUAAGUUACUUAAGGGAUAACAGCGUAAUUUUCUUUGAGAGUUCCUAUCGACAAGAUAAGUUGCGACCUCGAUGUUGAAUUAAAUUUACUUUUAGGCGCAGCAGUUUAUAAAAGUGGGUCUGUUCGACCCUUAAAUUUUU